Molecule: ribosomal RNA, 495 nt
Filed under: uncultured bacterium
Lineage: Bacteria
Description: partial 16S ribosomal RNA
Rfam family: Bacterial small subunit ribosomal RNA
Source: RNAcentral
GACGAACGCUGGCGGCGUGCCUAAUACAUGCAAGUAGAACGCUGAAGGGGGAGCUUGCUUCUCCGGAUGAGUUGCGAACGGGUGAGUAACGCGUAGGUAACCUGCCUGGUAGCGGGGGAUAACUAUUGGAAACGAUAGCUAAUACCGCAUAAUAGUAGAUGUUGCAUGACAUUUGCUUAAAAGGUGCAAUUGCACCACUACCAGAUGGACCUGCGUUGUAUUAGCUAGUUGGUGGGGUAACGGCUCACCAAGGCGAAGAUACAUAGCCGACCUGAGAGGGGGAUCGGCCACACUGGGACUGAGACACGGCCCAGACUCCUACGGGAGGCAGCAGUAGGGAAUCUUCGGCAAUGGACGGAAGUCUGACCGAGCAACGCCGCGUGAGUGAAGAAGGGUUUCGGAUCGUAAAGCUCUGUUGUAAGAGAAGAAAGAUUGUGAGAGUGGAAAGUUCACACUGUGACGGUAUCUUACCAGAAAGGGACGGCUAACUACGUG